This 395-nucleotide ribosomal RNA is filed under the name uncultured bacterium. Its description in RNAcentral is "partial 16S ribosomal RNA". It matches the Rfam family "Bacterial small subunit ribosomal RNA", at positions 523 to 918 of the family's 1533-position model. The record is from RNAcentral.
AUACGUAGGGUGCAAGCGUUAAUCGGAAUUACUGGGCGUAAAGCGUGCGCAGGCGGUUUUGUAAGACAGUGGUGAAAUCCCCGGGCUCAACCUGGGAACUGCCAUUGUGACUGCAAGGCUGGAGUGCGGCAGAGGGGGAUGGGAUUCCGCGUGUAGCAGUGAAAUGCGUAGAUAUGCGGAGGAACACCGAUGGCGAAGGCAAUCCCCUGGGCCUGCACUGACGCUCAUGCACGAAAGCGUGGGGAGCAAACAGGAUUAGAUACCCUGGUAGUCCACGCCCUAAACGAUGUCAACUGGUUGUUGGGGAUUUAUUUUCUCAGUAACGAAGCUAACGCGUGAAGUUGACCGCCUGGGGAGUACGGCCGCAAGGUUAAAACUUAAAGGAAUGGACGGGG